Molecule: transfer RNA, 73 nt
Filed under: Bos taurus (domestic cattle)
Lineage: Eukaryota; Metazoa; Chordata; Mammalia; Artiodactyla; Bovidae
Also listed under: 1 other name
Rfam family: tRNA
About the family: Transfer RNA (tRNA) molecules are approximately 80 nucleotides in length. Their secondary structure includes four short double-helical elements and three loops (D, anti-codon, and T loops).
Source: Rfam by way of RNAcentral
CCCUUGCUGGUCUGGUGGCUAGGAUUCCUGGUUCUCAUUCAGGACUUCCCAGGUUCAAUUCCUGGGCAGGGAA